AGUGAACGCUGGCGGUAGGCCUAACACAUGCAAGUCGAACGGCAGCACAGUAAGAGCUUGCUCUUACGGGUGGCGAGUCGCGGACGGGUGAGGAAUACAUCGGAAUCUACUUUUUCGUGGGGGAUAACGUAGGGAAACUUACGCUAAUACCGCAUCCGACCUACGGGUGAAAGCAGGGGAUCUUCGGACCUUGCGCGAUUGAAUGAGCCGAUGUCGGAUUAGCUAGUUGGCGGGGUAAAGGCCCACCAAGGCGACGAUCCGUAGCUGGUCUGAGAGGAUGAUCAGCCACACUGGAACUGAGACACGGUCCAGACUCCUACGGGAGGCAGCAGUGGGGAAUAUUGGACAAUGGGCGCAAGCCUGAUCCAGCCAUACCGCGUGGGUGAAGAAGGCCUUCGGGUUGUAAAGCCCUUUUGUUGGGAAAGAAAAGCAGCAGGUUAAUACCCCGCUGUUCUGACGGUACCCAAAGAAUAAGCACCGGCUAACUUCGUG
This 492-nucleotide ribosomal RNA is filed under the name uncultured bacterium. RNAcentral's name for it is "partial 16S ribosomal RNA". It matches the Rfam family "Bacterial small subunit ribosomal RNA", at positions 29 to 507 of the family's 1533-position model. The record is from RNAcentral.